Molecule: ribosomal RNA, 253 nt
Filed under: uncultured bacterium
Lineage: Bacteria
Description: partial 16S ribosomal RNA
Rfam family: Bacterial small subunit ribosomal RNA
Source: RNAcentral
UACGUAGGGGGCUAGCGUUGUCCGGAAUCAUUGGGCGUAAAGCGCGUGUAGGCGGUCCGGUAAGUCCGCUGUGAAAGUCGGGGGCUCAACCCUCGGACGCCGGUGGAUACUGUCGGGCUUGAGUACGGAAGAGGCGAGUGGAAUUCCCGGUGUAGCGGUGAAAUGCGCAGAUAUCGGGAAGAACACCCGUGGCGAAGGCGGUUCUCUGGGACGGUACUGACGCUGAGACGCGAAAGCGUGGGGAGCGAACAGG